This 116-nucleotide ribosomal RNA is filed under the name Peptococcaceae bacterium. Lineage: Bacteria; Bacillati; Bacillota; Clostridia; Eubacteriales; Peptococcaceae. The record is from RNAcentral.
CCUGGUGGCCACAGCGAAGGUGAAACACCCGUUCCCAUCCCGAACACGGCAGUUAAGCCCUUCAGCGCAGAUGGUACUUGGCCCUGGUGGCCUGGGAGAGUAUGUCGCCGCCAGGA